RNAcentral lists this ribosomal RNA (461 nucleotides) under uncultured bacterium. Its description in RNAcentral is "partial 16S ribosomal RNA". It matches the Rfam family "Bacterial small subunit ribosomal RNA", at positions 339 to 795 of the family's 1533-position model. The record is from RNAcentral.
CUACGGGUCGCUGCAGUCGAGAAUCUUCCGCAAUGGACGAAAGUCUGACGGAGCGACGCCGCGUGCGGGAUGAAGGCCUUCGGGUUGUAAACCGCUGUCAGUGGGGAGGAAAUGCAUCAGGGUUCUCCCUGGUGUUUGACCGAUCCGCAGAGGAAGCGCAGGCUAAGUUCGUGCCAGCAGCCGCGGUAACACGAACUGCGCGAACGUUAUUCGGAAUCACUGGGCUUAAAGAGUUCGUAGGCGGCCUUUCAAGUCGGGUGUGAAAUCCCUCGGCUCAACCGAGGAAUUGCGCCUGAUGCUGUUGGGCUUGAGGGGGAUAGGGGUGAGCGGAACUGAUGGUGGAGCGGUGAAAUGCGUUGAUAUCAUCAGGAACACCGGUGGCGAAGGCGGCUCACUGGAUCUCUUCUGACGCUGAGGAACGAAAGCUAGGGGAGCGAACGGGAUUAGAUACCCUCGUAGUC